GCCCUUGGCGGCAGGGCCGGUCUCGCCUAUAUUGGGACCGUCGGGGCGACCCGACUAUGAUCGUAGAGGCAGAGCGGAAUAGGCGUUCAGGACGCGGGUUCAAUUCCCGCCGCCUCCACCACGAGCGCAUCGGCACGGUGCGUUCCUGAGGGGGGCGACUUGGGUUCGACUGGGCGCGGUAAAGGCUAGGCUGCGAUUGGGCUGAGCUACGGCCCUGAUAGUGCAAAUCCACAAAUGCCAACGACAACGUUGACAUGGGUGAGGUUCGCCUCGCGGCGUAACCAUCCGGGGCUCGGGAAAGCCUAGCAACAGAAACGGCGCCUCA
RNAcentral lists this transfer-messenger RNA (325 nucleotides) under Enterovirga aerilata. It matches the Rfam family "Alphaproteobacteria transfer-messenger RNA". From Rfam's summary of the family: Bacterial tmRNA, also known as 10Sa RNA or SsrA, is named for its dual tRNA and mRNA-like properties. Its role is to liberate the mRNA from a stalled ribosome. The record is from RNAcentral. Lineage: Bacteria; Pseudomonadati; Pseudomonadota; Alphaproteobacteria; Hyphomicrobiales; Methylobacteriaceae.